This 301-nucleotide ribosomal RNA is filed under the name uncultured bacterium. RNAcentral's name for it is "partial 16S ribosomal RNA". It matches the Rfam family "Bacterial small subunit ribosomal RNA", at positions 509 to 808 of the family's 1533-position model. The record is from RNAcentral.
CAGUAGCCGCGGUAAUACGUAGGUGGCAAGCGUUGUCCGGAAUUAUUUGGUGUAAAGGGCUCGCAGGCGGUUUCUUAAGUCUGAUGUGAAAGCCCCCGGCUCAACCGGGGAGGGUCAUUGGAAACUGGGAAACUUGAGUGCAGAAGAGGAGAGUGGAAUUCCACGUGUAGCGGUGAAAUGCGUAGAGAUGUGGAGGAACACCAGUGGCGAAGGCGACUCUCUGGUCUGUAACUGACGCUGAGGAGCGAAAGCGUGGGAGCGAACAGGAUUAGAUACCCCCGUAGUCCCUGUCUCUUAUACC